This 253-nucleotide ribosomal RNA is filed under the name uncultured bacterium. RNAcentral's name for it is "partial 16S ribosomal RNA". It matches the Rfam family "Bacterial small subunit ribosomal RNA", at positions 524 to 776 of the family's 1533-position model. The record is from RNAcentral.
UACGUAGGCAGCAAGCGUUGUUCGGAAUUACUGGGCGUAAAGAGUGUGUAGGCGGUGUUCUAAGUCUGGUGUGAAAUCUCCCGGCUCAACUGGGAGGGUGCGCUAGAAACUGGAAUGCUAGAGGAUGGGAGAGGUAAGCGGAAUUCCUGGCGUAGCGGUGAAAUGCGUAGAUAUCAGGAGGAACACCUGUGGUGUAGACAGCUUACUGGACCAUUUCUGACGCUGAGACACGAAAGCGUGGGUAGCAAACAGG